GCGCCUUCUAGCCAUGCUGGAGGCGCGGCACACAGCUCAGUAGCACGUGGCUAACCUGCCCUUGAGACGGGAGCAACCCCGGGAAACUGGGGACAAUUCCCGAUAGGUGAAGAUCCCUGGAAUGGGUUUUCGCCCAAAGGACGUUUAGGUCAUGCUUCUAGGCGUUGCUCAAGGAUGGGGCCGCGGCCGAUCAGGUUGUUGGUGAGGUAACGGCUCACCAAGCCUUUGACCGGUUCGGGCCGUGAGAGCGGUAGCCCGGAGAUGGGCACUGAGACAAGGGCCCAGGCCCUACGGGGCGCAGCAGUCGCGAAAACUUCGCAAUAAGCGAAAGCUUGACGGGGCCAUCCCGAGUGCCAUCUGCUGAAGAUGGCUUUUACCCAGUAUAGAUAGCUGGGGGAAUAAGGAGAGGGCAAGUCUGGUGUCAGCCGCCGCGGUGAUACCAGCCCCCUGAGUGAUAGGGACGAUUAUUUAGCCUAAAGCGUCCGUAGCCGGCUUAGAAAGUCUUUCGUUAAAUCUAACGGCUUAACCGUUAGGCCGCGGAAGAUACUUCUAGGCUAGAGGGCGGGAGAGGUUGACGGUAUUCCCGGGGUAGGGGUGAAAUCCUAUAAUCCCGGGAGGACCACCAGUGGCGAAGGCGGUCAACUAGAACGCGCCUGACGGUGAGGGACGAAAGCUGGGGGAGCGAACCGGAUUAGACACCCGGGUAGUCCCAGCUGUAAACGAUGCGGGCUAGGUGUUGGGGCAGCUACGAGCUGCUCCAGUGCCGCAGAGAAGUUGUUAAGCCCGCCGCUUGGGAAGUACGGCCGCAAGGCUGAAACUUAAAGGAAUUGGCGGGGGAGCACCACAAGGGGUGAAGCCUGCGGUUUAAUUGGAUUCAACGCCGGA
RNAcentral lists this ribosomal RNA (885 nucleotides) under uncultured crenarchaeote. RNAcentral's name for it is "bacterial SSU rRNA". It matches the Rfam family "Archaeal small subunit ribosomal RNA", at positions 62 to 922 of the family's 1478-position model. The record is from RNAcentral. Lineage: Archaea; Thermoproteati; Thermoproteota.